RNAcentral lists this ribosomal RNA (443 nucleotides) under uncultured bacterium. Its description in RNAcentral is "partial 16S ribosomal RNA". It matches the Rfam family "Bacterial small subunit ribosomal RNA", at positions 338 to 795 of the family's 1533-position model. The record is from RNAcentral.
CCUACGGGUGGCAGCAGUGGGGAAUAUUGGGCAAUGGAGGCAACUCUGACCCAGCAACGCCGCGUGAAUGAUGAAGGUCUUCGGAUUGUAAAGUUCUGUGAUGGGGGAUGAACACAAUGACGGUACCCCACUAGCAAGCCACGGCUAACUACGUGCCAGCAGCCGCGGUACUACGUAGGUGGCAAGCGUUAUCCGGAAUGACUGGGCGUAAAUGGUGCGUAGGUGGUUUAGGAAGUUGGCGGUGUAAUUCCGGGGCUCAACCUCGGCGCUACCGCCAAAACUAUUAGACUAGAGUGCAGGAGGGGUAAGUGGAAUUCCUAGUGUAGCGGUGGAAUGCGUAGAUAUUAGGAGGAACAUCAGGGGCGAAGGCGACUUACUGGACUGUAACUGACACUGAGGCACGAAAGCGUGGGGAGCAAACAGGAUUAGAUACCCUUGUAGUC